UACGUAGGGGGCAAGCGUUGUCCGGAUUUAUUGGGCGUAAAAGGCUUGUAGGUGGCCACGCCAAGUCGGAUGUGAAAUCUCCCGGCUCAACUGGGAGGGGUCAUUCGAUACUGGCGGGCUCGAGGCCGGUAGGGGGAAGUGGAAUUCCCGGUGUAGUGGUGGAAUGCGUAGAUAUCGUAAGGAAGACCAGUGGCGAAGGCGGGUCUCUGGACAGUUCCUGACGCUGAGGCACGAAGGCCAGGGGAGCAAACGGG
This 254-nucleotide ribosomal RNA is filed under the name uncultured bacterium. RNAcentral describes it as "partial 16S ribosomal RNA". It matches the Rfam family "Bacterial small subunit ribosomal RNA", at positions 524 to 776 of the family's 1533-position model. The record is from RNAcentral.